CUGUGGCCACUUCGGCUCAAG
This 21-nucleotide small RNA is filed under the name Karenia brevis. Its description in RNAcentral is "trans-spliced leader sequence SL". The record is from RNAcentral. Lineage: Eukaryota; Dinophyceae; Gymnodiniales; Kareniaceae.